Hordeum vulgare subsp. vulgare (domesticated barley) is the source of this 205-nucleotide long non-coding RNA. RefSeq lists it as uncharacterized. The record is from RefSeq and is a predicted model, not a curated record. The transcript is spliced from 3 exons. Lineage: Eukaryota; Viridiplantae; Streptophyta; Magnoliopsida; Poales; Poaceae.
ACUAUUUUGUCAUGCGAUAUGAACUACUAAGUUGAAGAUCAAGGUGGAAUUCGCUGAUAUUAUUCUGGUGAUAUAUUAUAUUCGGAAGGAUAUCCUUAUUUAAACCAGAGCUAUAGCAAGGCUCGUCAUGCAAAGGAAAAGAUAUUUCAGAGGUUGUAUGGAACCUAUGAGGAGGCGUACUCUUUUGCCCCUAGAAUGUUGCAUC